Molecule: small nuclear RNA, 136 nt
Filed under: Mesocricetus auratus (golden hamster)
Lineage: Eukaryota; Metazoa; Chordata; Mammalia; Rodentia; Cricetidae
Description: U2 spliceosomal RNA
Rfam family: U2 spliceosomal RNA
About the family: U2 is a small nuclear RNA (snRNA) component of the spliceosome (involved in pre-mRNA splicing).
Source: Rfam by way of RNAcentral
AUCACUUCUCUGCUCUUUGGCUAAGAUCAAGUGUAGUAUCUGAGAAUAACAUUUAUGGUUCACAUGUCUUCUUCCACAUUUGUGUGGUUUUGGAGAACAGAACUUUAGAUCACCAAAUUUCUGCAGAAAAUACCUU